CCGCGUGGGAAUGCCGCCAGGGACGCUCCGCGUUCCGCUUCUGGAAGCAACGGCUCACACCCCUGGCGGCACUACCACCUCC
Molecule: unclassified non-coding RNA, 82 nt
Filed under: Pseudomonas brassicacearum
Lineage: Bacteria; Pseudomonadati; Pseudomonadota; Gammaproteobacteria; Pseudomonadales; Pseudomonadaceae
Source: RNAcentral